UUCCACGAAGAAGCUAUGGUUAGUUAUAUUACUUUAAUUUUAGUACAACCGACGUAUAUAUGUGUGUUUAAUAUAACUCCUGUCACAUCUGUAGCUAGAUUAGCAAAUGAUUCUUACAAUUUUCUAUACCGUUUCCUACUUUUCUUUUCGAAAUAUUUUAGUACAGAAAUUUCGGACAGUGCAGAUUUCGGACAGAAUAUAGAUCUAACAAUUGUCAAUAACAAUUGUGUUAAUUGUCAAGCUAUUAAACCAAUUUGAUUGUUAUAAUUAGUUAAGUAUGUUCUUUUGUAGACCUUUCAAUGAAGUUGCUACAGUAUCUAUGUGAAAGACAAGUCUUAAUAAUGUGAAAUCAACAUGGCAACAUUAUGUUAACCUACAGUACAGUGCUGUAAUGGGAAUACAAAUGAAACUGCAGCACUGUUGUUUGGUAAAGCAUGUACAUGUAUGCGAAAUGAACAUCUUUAGAUCCAAUUUGGUGUAUCACAUGAAAAGAGGAUUGUAAACAAAGGACAAGUAACUUGUGCAGACAGAUAUAAGGCAGCAUGAAUAGUUAGUACUUGGUGCAUCUGCUGAUUAAUGUGUUUGUCAAAGAGGACAUUAACAAUGAUGAGGCUGUAUAUCACCAGUAUUACUGCUGAAUGAUGGAAGGUUUUACAGCUAAACAAUCUUAUGAUUGGAAUCAAUAUCCAGGGGCAGCUCUCCCUUACAGGGUCCAAGUGUUGUGACCUUGUUAUAUGGCCAACAAAGGGCAUAUAAGUCCUAAAGAUAGUUCAGAAUAAAGUUAUAUAGACUAUCAAACAUUUCAUCAAUUUACCAAUAUCUGUAAGAUAAGGUACAUUAUGUAUAAUCUAAUACAUUCCAUAAUAACUUUGUUUCUACAUGCACAUGAAUAAAAAUAACACUUAAGUAUGGUCACAAAGGGACAGUCAGUGAUCUACAAUUAUUACCCUGAAUGCAUGUAAGAAGCUUUAUGUGAAUGCUUUUAAUGAUUAAUGAAAACAUAUACAUAGGUUAGGUCUUUAAGUUGUUUUUGAAUAUAUAUUUUGGAUGGUACAUGUAUGUACUGACUGUAUAUUCACUUGUCUUAAGUGUCAAAACUAUAUAUAGCUAUUGAUGUAUGUCAAAAUCAAAUAUCUAUAUUUCUUGAGGUGAUAACUUUACUAAAUCAUUCUCUUGAAUAACAUUAUGAAAUGUUAGACUUGAAAGGAAUACACAGCCAAAUGAUGUUCUUCUCUGUAUUCAAUUGGAUUAAAGUGACUUUGAAAAAAAAGAUUUAUGUGUUACAAUUCAUAACAUGAGAUAAAUCAAUGUAACAUAUGUGUUUAUAUUGAUAUUUAUUGAUUUAUUGUUACUUGAAUGCAUUAAAAUUGUUGGGAUGAAUAUUAAAAACACAAAGAAAAUAACACAAAAGGGACACUAAUUGAAAUAAACAAUUGUAAUACAGAAUUCCCUGGAAGUGACAAUUUAUCUUUAAUGUGCUAAGUUUAUAAUCAUCUUUGUCUUAACUGCUCUUGUCUGAAUAGUACCUUGUGUCUGUUAAAACAUAUUAUUUUUAUAUUGUUAUCUACUUUCAAGGUUGUUUUCUAGUAGAUAUGUAAAUAAAUUCUCAACAGGUAUCAUAAAAAAAUAAUAUGAAUUAGAAAAAGUUGUAACAUCUCAUUUCAAUGUCAUAAUUUACUGUCCUAUAUCUAUUUAUCAUACUGGAAUAAUAAUAAAUGACUGUAACAUUCCAA
Ruditapes philippinarum (Manila clam) is the source of this 1733-nucleotide long non-coding RNA. RefSeq lists it as uncharacterized. Lineage: Eukaryota; Metazoa; Mollusca; Bivalvia; Venerida; Veneridae. The record is from RefSeq and is a predicted model, not a curated record. The transcript is spliced from 3 exons.